GAUCCUGGCUCAGGAUGAACGCUAGCUACAGGCUUAACACAUGCAAGUCGAGGGGCAGCAUUGGAGUAGCAAUACUCAGAUGGCGACCGGCGCACGGGUGAGUAACACGUAUCCAACCUGCCGCUUACUCGGGGAUAGCCUUUCGAAAGAAAGAUUAAUACCCGAUGGUAUAAAGAGUUCGCAUGUUCUCUUUAUUAAAGAAUUUCGGUAAGCGAUGGGGAUGCGUUCCAUUAGAUAGUUGGCGGGGUAACGGCCCACCAAGUCUACGAUGGAUAGGGGUUCUGAGAGGAAGGUCCCCCACAUUGGAACUGAGACACGGUCCAAACUCCUACGGGAGGCAGCAGUGAGGAAUAUUGGUCAAUGGGCGGGAGCCUGAACCAGCCAAGUCGCGUGGAAAAGGAAGAAGGAUCUAUGGUUCGUAAACUUCUUUUGCAGGGGAAUAAAGUGCAGGACGUGUCCUGUUUUGUAUGUACCCUGAGAAUAAGGAUCGGCUAACUCCGUGCCAGCAGCUGC
RNAcentral lists this ribosomal RNA (513 nucleotides) under uncultured bacterium. RNAcentral's name for it is "bacterial SSU rRNA". It matches the Rfam family "Bacterial small subunit ribosomal RNA", at positions 15 to 518 of the family's 1533-position model. The record is from RNAcentral.